RNAcentral lists this ribosomal RNA (255 nucleotides) under uncultured bacterium. RNAcentral's name for it is "partial 16S ribosomal RNA". It matches the Rfam family "Bacterial small subunit ribosomal RNA", at positions 333 to 580 of the family's 1533-position model. The record is from RNAcentral.
UCGGGCCUACGGGGCGCAGCAGUAGGGAAUCUUCCACAAUGGACGAAAGUCUGAUGGAGCAACGCCGCGUGAGUGAAGAAGGGUUUCGGCUCGUAAAGCUCUGUUGGUAGUGAAGAAAGAUAGAGGUGGUAACUGGCCUUUAUUUUACGGUAAUUACUUAGAAAGUCACGGCUAACGACGUGCCAGCAGCCACGGUAAUACGUAGGUGGCAAGCGUUGUCCGGGUUUAUUGGGCGGAAAGCGAGUGCAGGCGGGU